RNAcentral lists this ribosomal RNA (465 nucleotides) under uncultured bacterium. Its description in RNAcentral is "partial 16S ribosomal RNA". It matches the Rfam family "Bacterial small subunit ribosomal RNA", at positions 339 to 795 of the family's 1533-position model. The record is from RNAcentral.
CUACGGGCGGCUGCAGUGGGGAAUAUUGCACAAUGGGCGCAAGCCUGAUGCAGCCAUGCCGCGUGUAUGAAGAAGGCCUUCGGGUUGUAAAGUACUUUCAGCGGGGAGGAAGGGAGUAAAGUUAAUACCUUUGCUCAUCGACGUUACCCGCAGAAGAAGCACCGGCGAACUCCGCUGCCAGCAGCCGCGGUAAUACGGAGGGUGCAAGCGUUAAUCGGAAUUACUGGGCGUAAAGCGCACGCAGGCGGUUUGUUAAGUCAGAUGUGAAAUCCCCGGGCUCAACCUGGGAACUGCAUCUGAUACUGGCAAGCUUGAGUCUCGUAGAGGGGGGUAGAAUUCCAGGUGUAGCGGUGAAAUGCGUAGAGAUCUGGAGGAAUACCGGUGGCGAAGGCGGCCCCCUGGACGAAGACUGACGCUCAGGUGCGAAAGCGUGGGGAGCAAACAGGAUUAGAUACCCGAGUAGUC